UAAAAGUUUUGUCUGAAUGGAUCGAAAUUUUUAUAUCGCUUUUAAAUACGACAAUAAAAAUGGCGGAUUUUUUAAAAAAGCGUUGUUGACAUUUUUUUAAUGGAACACCCAGUAUUUUUUUGUAAAUUGAAAGAAAGGUCAUUCACCUAUCCAGCAAUAUAAAGUUUUUCAAAAUUGGUGGUCAAAUCACUGAGUAAUUAAUUUUUAAAAUGAGAGGUGCAACGUGGAUAUCACAUACCUAAAUAACAUAACUAAGCAAAAUGAUAUUAUGUUAUGUGAUUUUCACAUUGCAUCUUUCAUUUUAAAAAUUAUUUGCUCAGUCAUUUGACAACCGAUUUUAAAAAAUUUAAUAUCGCUGGAUAGGUAAAUGACCGUUUUUUAAGCUAUAAAAAAAUAUACUGGGUGUUUCAAUAAAAAAAGUCAAAAACGUUUUUUUUUCCAAAAAUCCGCCAUUUUUUAUUUAAAACCGACAAAAAAAAUGGUAAUUUACCUAAAAACUUGAAAAAACGGUCAUUUCCCUAUCCAACGAUAUAAAUUUUUUUAAAAUCGGUGGUCAAAUGACUGAGAAAUUAAUUUUUAAAAUGAGAGAUGCAAUGUGGAAAUCACAUAACAUAAUAUCAAUUUGCUUAGUUAUGUUAUUUAGGUAUGUGAUAUCCACGUUGCACCUCUCAUUUUAAAAAUUAAUUACUCAGUGAUUUGACAACCGAUUUUGAAAAACUUUAUAUCGCUGGAUAGGUGAAUGACCUUUCUUUCAAUUUACAAAAAAAUAUACUGGGUGUUCUAUUAAAAAAAAGUCAACAACGUUUUUUUCAAAAAUCUGCUAUUUUCCUUUUCGUAUUUGAAAGCGAUAUAAAAAAUUCAGUCCAUUCAGACAAAACUUUUACUAAAACAAAACAUUUCAGCGAAAACCGCAUAUUUCUAUCUUGAGCCGUUUAUAAGUUAUAGGCAGUUAAAAUGGGGGAAAAUAUAAAUGGAAAAAUAUAGGCAUAUAAAUGGUACAAUAGACCAUUGUACCUAAGUAUAUACCUAGAAAUGCGUAGAAAAAAGUUAGAGAACAAUGUUUGCGAAAUAAUGUGGAAAUAGCCCAAAAAUGCUGUGAGUGGCGAAUUUUGAAAAAUCCUAUUUCGGAAACUAUAAAUCCUAGAGACUUUUACCAAACUUCAUUUUAAAGAGGAAAAGUUGAAGUUAUUUUUCGCUGAAGCAAUGCCUAUACCUCUAUCCCUGUGGAAAAAAGUUAUGGGGCAAAAAACAAAAUUGCUUUCUUUCAUGUUUUUUUCUUGCUUUUCUUUAGAAUAUAUUUUUGUAAAAGAAAUAUUUUUGACUUUAAAAUGUAUUAUUUAGAUAGUAAAUUUAACCUGGAACAAUUUUCCUGUAGACGUGUUUGAACCAAAAGUGCAUAGAACUCACCCUAAUUCGCCCUGUGCCUAGGGAUUAAUUCACCCCUUUCUAAAAAACGCACCCCUUUAAAUGGUAUCACUCCGUGGUUUUUUCAAACUUAGAGGUCCAUUGACCAUAUGAGACAAUAAAAUCGCGUUAACGUUGUAGUUAAUUUUAGCUCUCUUAUUUUGAACAUAAUCAAUAGCCUACUAUGGAUUAACUCCACAUCUCAAAGCUAGCAAGUAUUUUUCAGUUAGAUCCGUAGAUCCAGUAGUAAAGCUUUAAAAUGACGAAUUAUUAUAAAUGUUGAUUUAAUAAUUUUUUGCUCAUAAAACUAUGAAAACAAUAAGGAUUCUUGAUUUUUAAUUAAUUUUAACAACUCAUGUAAAAAGGAACGUAUGUAUUUCCCUGGAGUAGGCUUAUUUCUCUAAUCUGAUGCUGGCUGGAUACCGUGACAUAUUAUUAUUGUGUAUUAGGUCUGGAUCCCGCGUAUGAAAAAAAAAGUUGAUUAAUAGUGUAACGUUACAAACGUCACAUCUUUGAUAUUUUAUUUUUAAAUAAUUAUUUUACCUUAUUUCCUUUAAUAUUUCAUUAAUAAUUAUCUUCUUCUAUUUGGUUUACCCAUUUCUCCUUUAAAAAUUGGUUGGCGUCCGUUCUAUAAUAGGCAACCCUAUUUACAUUGUAUCAUCUCUUGUGUUCCAUGUUCGUUAUUUCAAAUUUCGCUCCAACCCAGAUAGCAUGUAAACUUGUGGCAAGUUUGAUUCUUCUUUGAUUUUAAAUUGCUGCGUCAAAUAUGACGAGGCAAGUUUGUGUCAAGUUUGCUGCAAUAUUGUUAUGACAUAGAUGAUGAUUCAAGUUUGUAGCAACUUUGCUGCAAGCGUACAUUUGCAAAGCCAUGUCACGCGUGUCAUCUAUUACACGUUACGGUCGGUUCGGUUCGGUUUCGUCCGUUACCCUGACUGAUGUCAAGCCCACGAAAACGAGAGUGUUGCCACCUGUGGUAAAUUUCCCUUUCUGCGAGAAUUUUCAACAUAAAAGGGAAAAAGUUAUCUUAUCAGGGAAUCUUUGCUCCAGUCCAAAUUGUAAAAUAUUUAUAAAAAUCAAAAUAUUUAAAAAUAAUUCAACAUAAUAUUUUCACAGAUUUUUUAAAUAGAAGCAUAGGAGGGAAUUUUAUCAUAAAAGUGGGAAUUUUUAAGGUAUCUACGUUGAGGGAAAAAGCUUACUCGACAGCUGGCAACACGGGAAAAGUAACCUGCCAUCCUGCCGUGCCAAGCGGUGAUAAUUUGUGGUUAGAUUGUUAGGUAUAUCCUAUCCUAUGUUGAUAUUUUUCUUUGAUUUUUUUUACAACACUUACCGUACAAUUAUCCGAGACUAUUACUUUAAUUACUAAGCUGAAGCUUGUUUUCUUCAUUUUUUCAUAGACCCACCUGCUUGUGGUGAUUAGAGCUGAGAGACAAAACUGAGCAUCGGAAUCUGAAGCUAGCGGGUUUAAUGUAAGUUCAAAUAAAUAAUUUUAGACAAUAGAUUGUAUUUUAGUUGAGUGAUUACUGAAUAAAUAGUUAUAUAAAAUGGUAUUGUAUUUUUUAUUCACAUUGUUUUAUUCAAAUUGUGGCUAGUAUGUCAAAACAAACCUUAAGUAAGUUUGUAUCAAGUUUGAAAAUACAAACUUCAUGCAACAAAACAAAAACAAACCUUCAGCAAGUUUAUUAUAUCAAGUUUGUAUCAAGUUUGAAAAAACAAACUUCAUGCAAGUUUGUCACACACCAACUAGCAAGUUUGAUUUAAACUUGCUGCAAGCUUGCAAAAUUGCCAUGGCAAACCUACAGCAAACUUUCAUGUUUGAUGUAUCAAACUUGUUGCAAGUUUGAAACAAGUUUAUAUUGCUAUCUGGGAAGGUUCGUUGUCAUCAUUUUAAUGACAGUGACAACCCCCAUAUCUCAUUCUCAAAAUGGAGGGGUAAUGUUUUAAAAAAGCAGAGCAGCUUCAAAAAUAAAUCAUUUCUAUUUCAACAAAUCUUCCUCUUGGGUUUUUGGGAUAAAAAUCAACGUCCUCCCUCCGGGAGCUUCAGGAAUCCUCAAUCGCCGGCGAUAUAACAACGAGGGACAUGUCAUCUAGACUGCAACCACAUUCCAUCUUGACUGCAACCAACCAACACCUGUAGGCCUGGUGGCCUAGAACAUCCACGUCUCCAGAGCCGGUUGCAGAACCAGCAGCAGUACCAUUCAACAUCAAGAAGAUGCCAUCAGCUACCAAAAGCCAUAAGUAUAAUCCAGAAUUGUUAGUUUUUGGCAAGAAUUUGAAUACAUUUGUUAAUGCAAUUUACUA
This is a long non-coding RNA of Diabrotica virgifera virgifera (western corn rootworm), 3702 nucleotides long. RefSeq lists it as uncharacterized. NCBI's taxonomy places the organism in Eukaryota, Metazoa, Arthropoda, Insecta, Coleoptera, Chrysomelidae. The record is from RefSeq and is a predicted model, not a curated record. The transcript has 3 exons.